GAUGAAGAACGCAGCGAAAUGCGAUAAGUAAUGUGAAUUGCAGAAUUCAGUGAAUCAUCGAAUCUUUGAACGCACAUUGCGCCCGCUAGUAUUCUGGCGGGCAUGCCUGUUCGAACGUCAUUUCAACCAUCAAGCCCCAGGCUUGUGUUGGGGACCUGCGGCUGCCGCAGGCCCAGAAAACCAGUGGCGGGCUCGCUGUCACACCGGGCGUAGUAGAUUUUAUCUCGCUCAGGGCGUGCUGCGGGUUCCGGCCGUUAAAAAGCCUUUUUUACCCAAGGUUGACCUCGGAUCAGGUAGGAAUACCCGCUGAACUUAAGCAUAUCAAUAAGCGGAGGA
RNAcentral lists this unclassified non-coding RNA (336 nucleotides) under soil metagenome. Its description in RNAcentral is "partial contains 5.8S ribosomal RNA, internal transcribed spacer 2, and large subunit ribosomal RNA". The stretch from base 1 to 120 matches the Rfam family "5.8S ribosomal RNA", at positions 35 to 154 of the family's 154-position model. The record is from RNAcentral.